Molecule: ribosomal RNA, 420 nt
Filed under: bacterium
Lineage: Bacteria
Description: partial 16S ribosomal RNA
Rfam family: Bacterial small subunit ribosomal RNA
Source: RNAcentral
UGGGGGAUAUUGCACAAUGGGCGAAAGCCUGAUGCAGCGACGCCGCGUGGGGGAUGAAGGCUUUCGGGUUGUAAACCUCUUUCGCUAUCGAACAAGGCCCGCUUAGGGUGGGUUUAGGGUAGGUGGAGAAGAAGCGCCGGCUAACUACGUGCCAGCAGCCGCGGUAAUACGUAGGGCGCGAGCGUUGUCCGGAAUUAUUGGGCGUAAAGGGCUUGUAGGCGGCUUGUUGCGCCUGCUGUGAAAACGCGGGGCUUAACUUCGCGCGUGCAGUGGGUACGGGCAGGCUUGAGUGUGGUAGGGGUGACUGGAAUUCCAGGUGUAGCGGUGGAAUGCGCAGAUAUCUGGAGGAACACCGAUGGCGAAGGCAGGUCACUGGGCCAUUACUGACGCUGAGGAGCGAAAGCAUGGGUAGCGAACAGG